This is a non-coding RNA of Phascolarctos cinereus (koala), 2744 nucleotides long. NCBI's taxonomy places the organism in Eukaryota, Metazoa, Chordata, Mammalia, Diprotodontia, Phascolarctidae. The record is from RefSeq and is a predicted model, not a curated record.
GCUUACAAUCUAAUAGGGGAGACAACAUGAAAACAAAUAUGGAUACAAGGUAUCCAUCUGAAUUGGUAGAGAAAAUUUCUUCCCUAAGAGUUCCCUACAUCUGUGAAACCACAGGUCCCAGAAAAAAAAAUUGUUGAUUUUUUUUGUUUUUGUUUUUUUGGUGUUGAGAAUUGAGGAUUAUUUGGGGACUGAGAAAUGAAAGAUGCCAAUGUGGACAGGUGGGCCUGCCAGAGAUGUAUGUGAGAAGCAUGGUGGAGAGAGCAUAGUUCUGUGUGGGACCUCUGGACUUGAAGUCAGGAUAGACCUGGGUUUGCAUCCCAUCUCUGAAAAUUCUUAGGUGGGUAACACUGGACAAAUUGUAUAACCUUAAGGACCUUGGAUCCUUCAUUUAUAAAACGAAGCUAAUCACUUAUUGCAUUUAGCAUGGUACUUGCUUCACAGCAAUCCUGAGGUACUUACCUCCCGGGGUAGUUUGGAGACCCAAAUGGGGUAAUGUAGGUACUUUGGAAAACCCUAUAAAUGUCAGUUAUUUAGACUAAUAGGUUUUCAUUCAAAAAAAGGAAGAUCAGAAAAGGAAGUGGGCUGGCUAUGUGGUGAGGGUGAGGAAUGACAGAUGGCCAGUAAAAAUGUUGCCCAGAUACCCAUGAAAUGUAAUUUAGAUGCUUUAUGGAGAAUCUAUGGGACAAGAAGGGCAGCUGCCCCAAAGCUGAUGGAUUUUUUUCAGCCACACACGUGGAUGGGUUUUGAUUUGCACAGAUGGAGAGAAUAUCCCAUCAAUUGAACCAUGGCUAGGUAAUUGAAGCAUUAGAGCUAAAGUCCUCAUCCUGUAGGCUGAAGGCCAGCCUAGUUAAGUUUGAGUGGCUCAUCAACAUGUUGACUAAUGACUGAUUUUUUUUAACAGUAAUCAUCGAAAACCAUCUAUCAAGCGAUAUUUAGUUUUGAAGAUCUCUGUGGAGAGAGAACCCACACCAAGGAAAUCACAGGUCUUUGUAGCACAAGUUUCAUUAUUAGAUGGUAAUGCCAGGGAGUAUCAGGCACAGCCCUGGGUCUGAGCCCCUCCCUCCUUUCCUCCCUCGGUGCAGAAGUAGAGUUGGGUGGUAGAGAAGAUGCACCAUUUUGGCAGAUAGUUUAUCUGGCUCUUCGAGGUGUGGAUUUUAUCUGACAUCUACUCAUCUACUCUGAGCCUCUGGCAGUGUUUGAUCAGAGCUGCUCAGAACCUGGCCCCACCCAAUAGCCUAACCUCAAUUCUCUAAUCUGGGGUUCUUAUUUCCCCUUUUUUUUUUCUGACUCCCUGCGGCUGGUUGCAUCUGGGAGCUUCACUUAGUCUGCAAAAUCUGCUAACGACUCAGACUGUUUCCAUCUUCCUAACGUCUUGUCAUCCAUCCCUCCACACCCCCAAGGAGGAGUGAGGUUGGAGCAGGAGGAAAGGGCAGGGUAGAGUGUCAUGGGGGAGGCUGCAUGUAACUGAUGGCUCCAUUCCAAAAGGAAACAGCUUUGUUGCAGGGAGGGGAGAAGCUCUCAAGGCUCUCACCGUGAUGGGCAAAGGGGACGGAGAACCUGAAUCCCUCAAGUCCCCUCCCCCAGCUGGAGCUGAGAAGUACCCAAGCCCAGAAGCUGCAAUGCAGACAUCUGGUACAUAAACACCUCAUCUUCCUGCCUCUCCUUGGCAUCCCUACUGCCUACGUGCCAUCUGGUGGUGGUUGGAGGCUACUGAAUGUUACUGGAGAAAGAUCUGCAUAACCUGUGCCCAUCUGUGCCAUGUAUGUACUCUUCUUACAUGAUUAUUUACCUUUUGGCCCAUAAUGAUGAUGAUUCAUCUUGAAACAGAGUCUGAGGACCUGUCCUUUCCCCUUCCCAGGAAAGUCAGCGAUCUUACACUUGACAUAUAUUGAGUUUUGUUUUGUUUUGGAGGCAAUUGGGGUUAAGUGACUUGCCCAGAGUCACACAGCUAGUGACUUAUGUGUCUGAAGCCAGAUUUGAACUCAGGUCCUCCUGACUCCAAGGCAGGAGCUCUAUCCACUGCCCCGAUCUUACACUUGAAAUGGACAAGAAGAUAGAGUGGACACGACAUGGACCUUGGGGACCAGAAUUGGGUAGCUGUUUCUUUCGGUUGCUUUUGGGAUUCUGGAUUUCCUACUUUCUGUGCAAACAGAGAAUGGUGAAGCUCCUACAAGGUGCACUAGACCUGAACCACGUGAGAAAGUUGCUGAGACCCAAGACUACCUGCUGGUGGUCUAGAAGAAGAAGAGGCAAAAUCAUUACUAAUCCUCCCCCUGAAUCUUCAGCCUCAGAAAACUGAGGUGGCAAGAGAUCUGCAGUAUGUAACUGGAACUGCAGUGGGUGUUCUCAGAACAUGGAAUGCUGCUCUCCUCACCUGUCCUUUAAAGCUCAACUCAACUAGCAUCUUCUCCUUGAUCCCCUAAUUGGUGCCUGGGGACACAAAUACCAAAGAAAGAAAAACAAUCCCUGCUCUCAAGGUCCUUACACUCCAUCAAAGAAUGAUAGAGAACAGAGGGAUGUGGAGAUGAAGGAGAGGUCAAGAUGGAUAGCUUCAGUCUUCUCAGGAAAGCUAUAAACAAGAUCCACAGAGCCUUUAGUCCCGGGAUCCACGACUCUUCUCAUUGUCCUCUACAAAGCCAUUUCCAUACUGCCCACAGAACACCAAUCAAUACCGGUAGGUCUGCUAUCCUCAUUCUCUCAUGAGCUCCUUUCUAUGCACACGAAGAGAAGAGACGAACAAGCCC